GACGAACGCUGGCGGCGUGCCUAAUACAUGCAAGUCGAGCGAAGUUUUUCUGGUGCUUGCACUAGAAAAACUUAGCGGCGAACGGGUGAGUAACACGUAAAGAACCUGCCUCAUAGACUGGGACAACUAUUGGAAACGAUAGCUAAUACCGGAUAACAGCAUUAACUGCAUGGUUGAUGUUUAAAAGUUGGUUAUGCUAACACUAUGAGAUGGCUUUGCGGUGCAUUAGCUAGUUGGUGGGGUAAAGGCCUACCAAGGCGACGAUGCAUAGCCGACCUGAGAGGGUGAUCGGCCACACUGGGACUGAGACACGGCCCAGACUCCUACGGGAGGCAGCAGUAGGGAAUCUUCCGCAAUGGGCGAAAGCCUGACGGAGCAACGCCGCGUGAGUGAAGAAGGAUUUCGGUUCGUAAAGCUCUGUUGUUAGGGAAGAAUGGAUAUGUAGUAACUAUACAUGUACGAGACG
Molecule: ribosomal RNA, 466 nt
Filed under: Gemella morbillorum
Lineage: Bacteria; Bacillati; Bacillota; Bacilli; Caryophanales; Gemellaceae
Description: bacterial SSU rRNA
Rfam family: Bacterial small subunit ribosomal RNA
Source: RNAcentral